GAAAGAGCGUUUAAAUACACUUUGGUUUCGACCCAAAACAAGGAAGUGAUACUCCUUCCCUCUUUCU
RNAcentral lists this transfer RNA (67 nucleotides) under Asychis amphiglyptus. RNAcentral describes it as "tRNA-Arg". The record is from RNAcentral. Lineage: Eukaryota; Metazoa; Annelida; Polychaeta; Maldanidae.